AUACUCAGCCAUCUCGCCACCAGGUGAAUGUUCUGCGGCAAGGAUUCCUGUGCCUCAGGCCCGGGUGGAUCCCGUUGAAGAGCCCUGUCUCAGGCCCGGGUGGACCCCGUUGAAGAGCCCUGUCUCAGGCCCGGGUGGACUCCGUUGAAGAGCCCUGCCUCAAGCCCGGGUGGACCCCGCUGUGCCCACCCUGUUGACCCUAACUGCACCCAGGACCGCCAGCUUAGGGUGGCACUGCCACAGUGGACUAGACCCUCCCACGUCAACCACCAACCAAGAAAAUGUCACAACGGCUUGUCCAAAGGCCAGCCUGGUGGGGGCACUUCACAAUUGAGGUUCUCUCUUCAAAAAUGACUUUAGCCUGUGUCAACUUGACAUAAAACCUAGCCAGUUCAAAGGC
Non-coding RNA from Rattus norvegicus (Norway rat), 400 nucleotides. The record is from RefSeq and is a predicted model, not a curated record. Lineage: Eukaryota; Metazoa; Chordata; Mammalia; Rodentia; Muridae.